This is a long non-coding RNA of Prosopis cineraria, 276 nucleotides long. RefSeq lists it as uncharacterized. The transcript has 3 exons. The record is from RefSeq and is a predicted model, not a curated record. NCBI's taxonomy places the organism in Eukaryota, Viridiplantae, Streptophyta, Magnoliopsida, Fabales, Fabaceae.
AGAGGAUCAAGAUUUCAGAGAAAGUAUAGCACCUGAGGGGAUUAAAGGGGACACCGAAUCAGGAGAGAAGAAGAUUCUGCGACGUUGGCCAAACACGAAAAAGGAAUGAAUAUGAACGCGGCGGCAUGAAAAUUUCAAGGAAAUAUCAGAGCAUACGGGUAGGGUAACAUGUAUGAGACGGCCCAAAAAUGCUGAAAUCCAAUUAUAAAAGGUUCAUAAUAAGGUGCUGGUACGGCCCAGGUGAAAAAAAUCAUGCGCGAUGCAAAUAUCAAGAGG